RNAcentral lists this ribosomal RNA (253 nucleotides) under uncultured bacterium. RNAcentral describes it as "partial 16S ribosomal RNA". It matches the Rfam family "Bacterial small subunit ribosomal RNA", at positions 524 to 776 of the family's 1533-position model. The record is from RNAcentral.
UACAGAGGGGGCAAGCGUUGUUCGGAAUUACUGGGCGUAAAGGGCGCGUAGGCGGCCUGCUAAGUCGAACGUGAAAUCCCCGGGCUCAACCCGGGAACUGCGUCCGAGACUGGCGGGCUCGAAUUCGGGAGAGGGAUGCGGAAUUCCAGGUGUAGCGGUGAAAUGCGUAGAUAUAGGAAGGAAUACCAGUGGCGAAGGCGGCCUCCUGGAUCGAUACUGACGCUGAGGCGCGAAAGCGUGGGGAGCAAACAGG